GAGGGUAUAGCUCAGUGACAGAGUGUGCGCCUACCAUGCAUGAGGUUCUGGGUUCAAUCCCCAGUACCACCG
RNAcentral lists this transfer RNA (72 nucleotides) under Camelus bactrianus (Bactrian camel). It matches the Rfam family "tRNA". Rfam says of the family: Transfer RNA (tRNA) molecules are approximately 80 nucleotides in length. Their secondary structure includes four short double-helical elements and three loops (D, anti-codon, and T loops). RNAcentral also lists the same sequence under 2 other names. Lineage: Eukaryota; Metazoa; Chordata; Mammalia; Artiodactyla; Camelidae. The record is from Rfam by way of RNAcentral.